CUUCAGUUGUAUCAUAAACAUGGUCUGGGGAACAUACACAGACCCAGGCCACGUCCUGCUGCAACAAGCCUGGGCCUCUGCAUUCUUCCAAGCAAAGAUCCACAGGACCAACUUCCAGAUGAUUCUGACACACCCCCAAGUGUGGGAACCGUUGAUCUAGGCCAUCCUGCCGAUUAUGGAAAGGAAGCUCAGAAGAUCAUUACCGCUGAUGCUUUGGUUGCAGAUUUUCUUAAAUGUCUGGUGAUCACUGAUGGGUUAUACAUACUUAAAAAUGAGGCCACAAAAAGCUGACUGAGAGCCCCUGUCGGUGGGUAGAGCUCGUCAUCUUGGGAGCCCUGUUUUUAGGAAGAUUAGCCCUGAGCUAACAUCCGUGCCCAUCUUCCUCAACUUUAUAUAUGGGAUACUUACCACAGCAUGGCUUGCCAAGCGGUGCCAUGUCCGCACCUGGGAUCCGAACCGGCGAACCCCGGGCCACUGAGAAGUGGAACGUAUGAACUUAAUUGCUGUGCCACCGGGCCGGCCCCUGGAGAUAAAGACUUAUAGUUGAGGAAGUAUGUGGACGUUGAGGCUCAGGUGUGGCUGUGCCUUCUGGUAGACACUGGGGUUGCCCAGGAUGACAGCAAGAAUCAAGGGUGGGGGAGGGAGGGAGAGACAGGAAGACAGAGGCAAAGUCCUCCAUGAAUCCCAGGUAGUGGAAUGGCCUCGAGAUGGGGAGCUGGCAUGGACCUCAGGGAGGAGCAGCAUGGGAGGGUGGCGUGCUUCCAGAACGCUGAGGCCACGAGGAGCCAGCAAUACCCAAUGCCUGCCCAGCCCAGAGAUAUGGGAAGUUCCCAUGCAAGAGGAAUGGGGGUAAAGGUCAUGCUCAGAGCAGGACAAGGCCCCCGUCAGGGAAAGGAAGGAAGUGGGUGGUGUGUGUGUGUGUGAAGAGGUGGGGGAUGUGGGCAAGUUUCUCUCCGGUAAAACAAGUUUCCGAGGGCAAAUGGGAGACUUUGAGCCACGGGAGGCAUUAACUGGAACAUGGAUGAAAGCUCAGGAGCUGGUGGGACCCGAGCAGCUUGCACUUUAGACUGAGGAGGCCCAGGACUCUACACGUGGGUGGAUUAACUUGUUUUCAGAUUCUGAUUGGGACAUUAUGGGAAGUUGCUCAGAAGCCAGAAGUGACAUGGGGCCCCAAGAGUUUGCUGGGACCUUGACUUUGUCGGUUGCUGAGGUCGUUUAUACACCAACAGAGAAAUUGAGGCAGUUCUGUUGUUGCAACAGAACUUGCCUCUGGCUGUGUGGCCUCAUUCGGGCUGGAGAGCCUGUGCAGAAGUGGGGGGGGGGCGGGGAGAGGCCAGAUGCACGCCCCCAUCACUGCCACUGGGCCUGGACCCCACAGCUGUCGCCUCUAACCCUGGACACAUGCUCUAAUGGUUGUGUUUGCAAAAAGAAUAUACAAUUAGAACCGUUUAAAAAACAUAAACACCUAGUAGCAUCUAAUUGAUUUUUAAAAACUAAUCUUUAACUAUACUCAAAUAUUUCUUAACCUAACAUUCAGGCCCCAAAAGAGAACAGCCUCACAGGAAAAAAUUUUUAAAAACCUUGUUUCUCUCUUGGAUUUUGACCUUGCUCUAAUAAGCCAGGGAGCUGCCUUUGGCAUCUUACCUAAGGAAACAGCUCGACUUCCCAUCUGAGUUCCUAGUAAGGCAUCUCAGUUUAUUCUCCCCCUUGCAGUAAAGCCUACAGGAGGUAAAGGGCAGCUGGGUACCCGGACGCCCGUGUUUUCCAGAAGGAAGGCGCUCUCCCUCCUUUGAAACCCUGUCAGGCUCUCCCUCCCUCAGCUCUUUGGCCGUGGGGUGUUUAUGGAUGGAGUUGCUGCGUCUACAGAGAUCACCCUCCUUAAAAACAGUCUCUCAGGAUCCCAGCUGGUUCCGAACCUACUUGUGAUCAUAGAGGAACGGGAUGGGCCACUGCCACACUGCCAGCCGAACCUAAUCUUCAUGCCUUUUAGACUGGGCGGCAGGACGUUCCCUCACCUUGGCUGCCAACUGGCGCCCGCGUGCAGCCUCUGUUCCCCGGGCCCCCACUGUCCUGUGUCCACCCAGGUCACCAGGC
This is a long non-coding RNA of Equus asinus (donkey), 2094 nucleotides long. The record is from Ensembl. Lineage: Eukaryota; Metazoa; Chordata; Mammalia; Perissodactyla; Equidae.